UACGUAGGGUGCAAGCGUUAAUCGGAAUUACUGGGCGUAAAGCGUGCGCAGGCGGUUUUGUAAGUCUGAUGUGAAAUCCCCGGGCUCAACCUGGGAAUUGCAUUGGAGACUGCAAGGCUAGAAUCUGGCAGAGGGGGGUAGAAUUCCACGUGUAGCAGUGAAAUGCGUAGAGAUGUGGAGGAACACCGAUGGCGAAGGCAGCCCCCUGGGUCGAGAUUGACGCUCAUGCACGAAAGCGUGGGGAGCAAACAGG
RNAcentral lists this ribosomal RNA (253 nucleotides) under uncultured bacterium. Its description in RNAcentral is "partial 16S ribosomal RNA". It matches the Rfam family "Bacterial small subunit ribosomal RNA", at positions 524 to 776 of the family's 1533-position model. The record is from RNAcentral.